RNAcentral lists this long non-coding RNA (1188 nucleotides) under Oncorhynchus kisutch (coho salmon). RNAcentral's name for it is "lncRNA (ENSOKIG00005018534.1)". The record is from RNAcentral. Lineage: Eukaryota; Metazoa; Chordata; Actinopteri; Salmoniformes; Salmonidae.
AUGUUACUCAAGGUGUUAGACCACUUGAAAAGUGAAGGCCUAAAACUGUUCCUUGACAAGUGUCAGUUUUGCCGCACAUAUGUCAACUAUGUUGGACAUAUCAUAUCCCAGAAUGGAGUGGCUACAGACCCGUCAAAGAGUGAAGCUGUCACCACGUGGCCAAGACCUGAAACUGUGACUGCUCUGCGUUCUUUCCUAGGAUUCUGUGGAUAUUACAGAAGAUUUGUCAAAGACUAUUCUAAAGUGAGUUACCCCCUGAAUAAGCUCUUAUGCGGAUAUCUUCCCUCUGCCAAGAAAGUAAGAAAGUCCAAGGAAGAGGAGAAAGCCUACCUCAACCUCUCAGAACCAUGUGGAUCAAGGUGGGAUGAGAAGUGUGAAUUGGCAUUCGAGACAUUGAAGGAAAACCUCACAAAAGCUCCUGUGUUGGCCUUUUCUGAUCCUCAGUUGCCAUACGUUCUAUAUGUAGAUGCUAGCCGCGAAGGGUUACGUGGAGUACUUUACCAAGAGACAACUUUACCAACAGACAACCACCCAUUGACAUAUGUCCCCACGUCCCCAAAAUUGGAUGCCACUGGUCAUCGUUGGCUAGCUGCGUUAUCUACCUUUGACUUUAGUCUCAAGUACAGGCAGAACAUAGAUGCCGAUGCUUUAUCUCACCGCUCUCAUCAGCAAUCUGCAGUGGAACAAGAUUGGAGAGACAUUCCUGCAUCUGGUGUCCGAGCCAUGUGCCAGAUGUCUAAUGUUGUUAGAGUAACUCCUGGAUCAUCUAGUAGAGUGAUUGAUCAGUUGGGAGCCUCUAUGCAUGCUGUGCUUCAAGCAUACUGUAACCUGAGCAUACUGAAGUCUCACAUGUCCAGAUUGAGCACUAUGGAACUUUCUGCAUCACAACAAGAAGACCCUUGCUUAGGAGAGAUGUGGGUUGCUCUUAAUCAACAUGAUAUUACCAGGGUGACAAUGACCAAACAUCCAUUCAUCUCUUUGCUCCUGAGAGAGUGGGAGAAGCUAAAGAUGGAAGAUGGAGUUAUGCACAGGAUCACACAUCCGCCAAACAAAACUCAUCAUGCUCAGCUACUACUUCCAGAGAAGUUCAGAACUAUGGUCCUCAAGUCGCUGCAUGAUGACUCAGGUCAUUUAGGAUUUGACAAAACCUAUGGCCUUUCAGAGACCGGUUCUACUGGCCACGCAUGA